UGUCAACUCACUUCGGCGUUCCGCUUCAAUGUAAUUCCAGGCUCGAAUGUGGUGCUAGGCUUUGACCGCGGUAAUUCCAAUUACAGCGUCGCUUACGACAGUCUCAACACUACCAUUACGAAGAUCUGCAACAGCACCAAGGAGUAUCCUGACCUCCAUUUGGGCGUGGCAUUGUUUUCUCUCGAGUUAGAAGAUGGAAACAAGGAGUGUCUCAAGAGUGGGCACCUGAAUGAAGUCGCAGGAUAUUGGCGCACAAGCGGAGUGUCAUCAUAUGUGAAGAAUGUCAUUAGAGAUGCCAAUUUUUUAACCACGCAACCAGAAUGUGAUCUAUACAAGAAAAUAAGAAAAACAAUCUGAGAAGACGAUUUUGACUUCUCGAUUUUCUCUAUUAAAAACAAAAACGUCUCGGUCA
Long non-coding RNA from Ixodes scapularis (black-legged tick), 412 nucleotides. RefSeq lists it as uncharacterized. NCBI's taxonomy places the organism in Eukaryota, Metazoa, Arthropoda, Arachnida, Ixodida, Ixodidae. The record is from RefSeq and is a predicted model, not a curated record. The transcript has 2 exons.